RNAcentral lists this ribosomal RNA (251 nucleotides) under Trematosphaeria sp. Its description in RNAcentral is "partial small subunit ribosomal RNA". Lineage: Eukaryota; Fungi; Ascomycota; Dothideomycetes; Pleosporales; Trematosphaeriaceae. The record is from RNAcentral.
AGACCUUAACCUGCUAAAUAGCCAGGCUAGCUUUGGCUGGUCGCCGGCUUCUUAGAGGGACUAUCGGCUCAAGCCGAUGGAAGUUUGAGGCAAUAACAGGUUAACCUACACAGGCCUGUAACAGUGGGCCUCGUAAAAGAUAACUGCUAGUUCAGCGUUUUUACCUUCUUGGGGAAGUCCCCUACUGUCGGGAGAAGGCAAGUGAAUUUAUUUGCUUGUAACGCGGGCAACACCACCUGGUACAGGGAACG